UGGGGAAUAUUGCACAAUGGGGGAAACCCUGAUGCAGCAACGCCGCGUGCGGGAUGACGGCCUUCGGGUUGUAAACCGCUUUCAGCCAUGACGAAGCUUUUUUGACGGUAGUGGCAGAAGAAGCACCGGCUAACUACGUGCCAGCAGCCGCGGUGAUACGUAGGGUGCGAGCGUUGUCCGGAAUUAUUGGGCGUAAAGAGCUUGUAGGCGGUUUGUCGCGUCGAAAGUGUAAACUCAGUGCUUAACGCUGAGCCUGCUUUCGAUACGGGCUGACUAGAGGAAGGCAGGGGAGAAUGGAAUUCCCGGUGGAGCGGUGGAAUGCGCAGAUAUCGGGAGGAACACCAGUGGCGAAGGCGGUUCUCUGGACCUUUCCUGACGCUGAGAAGCGAAAGCGUGGGUAGCAAACAGG
This 409-nucleotide ribosomal RNA is filed under the name bacterium. RNAcentral describes it as "partial 16S ribosomal RNA". It matches the Rfam family "Bacterial small subunit ribosomal RNA", at positions 355 to 776 of the family's 1533-position model. The record is from RNAcentral.